RNAcentral lists this ribosomal RNA (253 nucleotides) under uncultured bacterium. RNAcentral describes it as "partial 16S ribosomal RNA". It matches the Rfam family "Bacterial small subunit ribosomal RNA", at positions 524 to 776 of the family's 1533-position model. The record is from RNAcentral.
UACGGGGGGGGCAAGCGUUGUUCGGAAUUACUAGGCGUAAAGGGCUCGUAGGGGGCCAAUUAAGUCAGACGUGAAAUCCCCAGGCUCAACCUGGGAACUGCGUCUGAUACUGGUUGGCUUGAAUUCGGGAGAGGGAUGCAGAAUUCCAGGUGUAGCGGUGAAAUGCGUAGAUAUCUGGAGGAAUACCGGUGGCGAAGGCGGCAUCCUGGACCGAGAUUGACACUGAGGAGCGAAAGCCAGUGGAGCAAACGGG